UACGGAGGAUGCGAGCGUUAUCCGGAUUUAUUGGGUUUAAAGGGUGCGUAGGCGGCUUUUUAAGUCAGCGGUGAAAUUUUGCAGCUUAACUGUAAAAGUGCCUUCGAAACUGGUUUCCUUGAGUGUAGAUGAAGUAGGCGGAAUUUGUGGUGUAGCGGUGAAAUGCAUAGAUAUCACGAGGAACUCCGAUUGCGAAGGCAGCUUACUAAGCUACUACUGACGCUCAGGCACGAAGGCGUGGGGAUCAAACAGGAUUAGAUACCCGCGUAGUCCCU
This 275-nucleotide ribosomal RNA is filed under the name uncultured prokaryote. RNAcentral describes it as "partial 16S ribosomal RNA". It matches the Rfam family "Bacterial small subunit ribosomal RNA", at positions 524 to 798 of the family's 1533-position model. The record is from RNAcentral.